Molecule: unclassified non-coding RNA, 233 nt
Filed under: soil metagenome
Description: partial internal transcribed spacer 1
Source: RNAcentral
UUGAAUUUUAAUGAAGAGUUUGGUUGUAGCUGGCCCAUUCAUUUGGGCAUGUGCACACCUUCCUCUUUCAUCCCACAACACACCUGUGAACCUGUGAGACAGAGAUGGGGAAUUUACUUGCUGCUUUUGGAAUACAAAGGCAAUAGGGUUAUUGGACCCCCCCUCUGUCUACUCAAUUAAUAUAAACUCAAUUUAUUUUAAAACGAAUGUAAUGGAUGUAACACAUCUCAUAC